RNAcentral lists this unclassified non-coding RNA (349 nucleotides) under soil metagenome. RNAcentral describes it as "partial contains 5.8S ribosomal RNA, internal transcribed spacer 2, and large subunit ribosomal RNA". The stretch from base 1 to 120 matches the Rfam family "5.8S ribosomal RNA", at positions 35 to 154 of the family's 154-position model. The record is from RNAcentral.
GAUGAAGAACGUAGCGAAAUGCGAUAAGUAAUGUGAAUUGCAGAAUUCAGUGAAUCAUCGAAUCUUUGAACGCACAUUGCGCCCGCCAGUAUUCUGGCGGGCAUGCCUGUCUGAGCGUCAUUUCAACCCUCAUGCCCCUAGGGCGUGGUGUUGGGGAUCGGCCAAAGCCCGCGAGGGACGGCCGGCCCCUAAAUCUAGUGGCGGACCCGUCGUGGCCUCCUCUGCGAAGUAGUGAUAUUCCGCAUCGGAGAGCGACGAGCCCCUGCCGUUAAACCCCCAACUUUCCAAGGUUGACCUCAGAUCAGGUAGGAAUACCCGCUGAACUUAAGCAUAUCAAUAAGCGGAGGGA